UUGUGCCAAUAAAGGGAGUAUAAGCUCAAACUUGCCUCAGAGGCACAGUCCAGGGUACCUGCUUCCCCGUUUGGACUGGAUUGGACUUGAGUCACUUUCUGGGGCACACUCAAUCCUGUAGAAACAAUCAGAAGACAGCUGAUCAUCUGAUAUAGUGAAUAAAACAUUGUAAGAAUUAGACUAAUUUAAGAUUUAAAGACAAACUAUAUUGAAGUCACAGUUUGCUGUCUUUUCUCCCAUUCCCCUUUCCUCCUCUAGCCGAUGUGAAUCACCAUACUGGCUGUGUACAAUCUUUUAUCUGUAAAAAUCCUGACCAGUCUGGAUCAUCUGAAUCAGAAGGGAUUAAUAACACCAACACCCACAGCAGGCCGGAGAGUGGCACGCGGCUUGGACUUCUCUGUACAAUAUGUUUCACUCUGCCUCAGCCUCAGAGUUCAGGAACUCUGAGUCCUUGGCAUAUGUAAAGACUUCCUGGUUCCUAUGCUACUCUCCCAAGCAGGAAAUGUAGUUCAUAAUUCACAAGACCAUGACUUGCUGCAAGAAGCUCAAUACCUAGAAAGUGAACCUGAGGAGAAGGAGGGACUGAUGCAUAUGUACCUGCCACAUGGGCAGUAUCUGGAUCUCACUCGUGAAAGACGAGUACCAGUCCAGUACUCAGGGACAGCAAGAUGAAAUCUAUGACAGCACUGAGGGCCUAGUAAAGAUGACCAAGGCAGAGAGAUGAACUCUGUUUCUGAACCACAUCACUGAAGAGUUUAGAUAGAAAAGAUGCUUGAAAUAUGCCUUAAAUCACGAAUGACUUUCCCAGGAAAAGAAUGGAGAAGAAAAUUCUUGUUCAGUUGAAUCAGCAUGGCUCUGGAUUGAGUGGUUACAUGAGUGAGGUCAUUUUGUGCUUGCAUCAGAAAUGUUAAUGUGGCCCUGACCUUGAAGAAUAAACUGUGUCUUUAGGGAAUUGUUCCCUUCCAAUGUCUUAUUUUCAACCUUUUGAGCUUAGACAUUAUUUAGGUGGAUGGGUGGACACAUACAUAAAUUAAAACAAGAUAUAAAAAUAAGUUGAAACAGAAUAGGAGAGAAUAAUUUUAAAGAGAUAAUCUCUGGCUACCUGAGUAUGUGUGAGACCUUAAUCUAAUCUGAAGCAGCAUUGCC
Molecule: long non-coding RNA, 1146 nt
Filed under: Chinchilla lanigera (long-tailed chinchilla)
Lineage: Eukaryota; Metazoa; Chordata; Mammalia; Rodentia; Chinchillidae
Description: lncRNA (ENSCLAG00000028846.1)
Source: RNAcentral